This 73-nucleotide transfer RNA is filed under the name Deltaproteobacteria bacterium. Its description in RNAcentral is "tRNA-Ala". It matches the Rfam family "tRNA". Rfam says of the family: Transfer RNA (tRNA) molecules are approximately 80 nucleotides in length. Their secondary structure includes four short double-helical elements and three loops (D, anti-codon, and T loops). Further hydrogen bonds mediate the characteristic L-shaped molecular structure. tRNAs have two regions of fundamental functional importance: the anti-codon, which is responsible for specific mRNA codon recognition, and the 3' end, to which the tRNAs corresponding amino acid is attached (by aminoacyl-tRNA synthetases). tRNAs cope with the degeneracy of the genetic code in two manners: having more than one tRNA (with a specific anti-codon) for a particular amino acid; and 'wobble' base-pairing, i.e. permitting non-standard base-pairing at the 3rd anti-codon position. RNAcentral also lists the same sequence under 1 other name. Lineage: Bacteria; Pseudomonadati; Myxococcota; Myxococcia. The record is from RNAcentral.
GGGCCUGUAGCUCAGCUGGGAGAGCGCUGCGUUCGCAAUGCAGAGGUCAGGGGUUCGAGCCCCCUCAGGUCCA